AACGAACGCUGGCGGCAUGCCUAACACAUGCAAGUCGAACGACACCUCCGUGACUAGUGGCUCACAGGUGCGUCACGCGUCGGAACGUGCCCGUAUGCUCGGAAUAACUCUUCUUAAGGGGUGCUAAUGCCGGGUAAUGUAUUCGAAUCCAAGAUUUAUCCUCCUUGGAUGGGCCCGCGUUGGACUGGCCUGGUGGUAGGGUAAAAGCCUAUCACGGCUAAGCUACAUAGCUGGUCUGAGAGGAAGAGCAGCCACUCUGAGACUGAGCAACGGCCGAGACUCUUACGGGAGGCAGGAGAGGGGAAUAUAGGAAUAUCGGGGAAAGCAUGAUGGAGCUAUGCUGGGUGAGUGAUGAAGGCCGUAGGGUUGUAAAGCACUUUUACCCGGGAUGAUAAUGACAGUACCGGGAGAAUAAGCACCGGCUAACUCCGUG
Molecule: ribosomal RNA, 433 nt
Filed under: uncultured bacterium
Lineage: Bacteria
Description: partial 16S ribosomal RNA
Rfam family: Bacterial small subunit ribosomal RNA
Source: RNAcentral